This 1049-nucleotide long non-coding RNA is filed under the name Brassica napus (rape). RNAcentral describes it as "long non-coding RNA (BNAP_LNC023906)". Lineage: Eukaryota; Viridiplantae; Streptophyta; Magnoliopsida; Brassicales; Brassicaceae. The record is from RNAcentral.
GGGGAAAUUCGCUUUCGAUAUAGAGAAGGAUCUCAAGAAUCAUGAAGCGAAACUUUGAUUGAUUUAUUCGGCUGCCUUAUAAGGAGAGAGUUGAGGGUCUUGAAGAUCGCAAGUAGUAAAUCAAGAUGGCUUACUCGUUUGUAUCUAAGGAACUCAGUUGAGAAAUGGGAACUUAAGGAAAACUUAGGAGGAGCGGAAUGAAGAUAAUUUAAGUGGAUUAUAUGAGGACUGUUAUGUACACAAGGUUAGUUAGAAAAGACGUGGGAGAAGGAACUCAAGUUCUACCAGAAGAUUAAACUAGAUGAGUAGAGAAGAGAUGUUAAGUGAACGUCGAAGAAGAUUGAUGAGUUAAGGAAUAUGUAUGACCGUAAGACAUAUGGGAAUGCCAAGGUUGUUAAAAUAUCAGAGGAUGUAUCAAUACAUAAAGUAUGAAGUCGUCGUACAAGAGUACACAGUUGGUAAAUCAAGCUUGGUAUAGACGGACCUGUUGAUCAUGGGAAACAUCAGAGAGAUUAACUUGUUCAGAAGAUUAUGAAGAGGGUCUCAGAUAGAUCAGAAGUGUAAAGAAUACUGUAAGUGAAAUCAUUCUUGGAAUGGGUGAGUGUGUGUAUUUGAGAGUAGCACCCCUGGUCCGAAUCAUGUUGGCGUGAUUGAUCGUGCAUGUUCUUGUUUGAUUGUUGCACGGUUAAUCAAGUUAACAUUGACCAGACUGUAGACGUUACAUUCACGUAUGGCACAUCACCUAACGUUCCAAAUUUCAUGUUGUUGUUAUGGGGGAAAGCCAGAUAGAAAAGGUUGAGAAGUUAUAGUCUACAGAUACAAGAUUGUUAGGAAAAGUAUGCAGACCGCAGUUGACAAUAGUUGUGCAAAGUAAAGAAUUUGGUUAUCUUGAAAGUGGCUGCUCAGAAAAGAAAGGAUCAGUUGGGGGAAUCAAGGAAUCGACCAUGAGUUGUUUUGAUAUGGGCAAAUGAAGAUAAGUUCAGAGCUAAUACCCAGAACUCGUUUCAAAGACAAUGUUCAAUAAAGUGUGUACAGCUAUGUUCUCAGAA